GACGAACGCUGGCGGCGUGCCUAAUACAUGCAAGUAGAACGCAGUUGCGAACGGGUGAGUAACGCGUAGGAAUCUCCCUCAUAGCGGGGGUUAACUAUUGGAAACGAUAGUUAAUACCGCAUACUGUGAGAUGGACCUUCGUUGUAUUAGGUAGUUGGUGUGGUAAAGACUCACCAGGGCGACGAACCAUAGCCGACCUGAGAGGGUGGUCGGCCACACUGGGACUGAGACACGGCCCAGAAUCCUUGAGGAGGCAGCAGUAGGGAAUCUGCGGAAAUGGACGGAAGUCUGACCGAGCAACGCCGCGUGAGUGAAGAAGGUUUUCGGAUCGUAAAGCUCUGUUGUUAGGGAAGCGGUAGCUAACCAGAAAGGGACGGCUAACUACGUGCCAGCCGACGCGGUAAUUC
This 407-nucleotide ribosomal RNA is filed under the name uncultured bacterium. RNAcentral's name for it is "partial 16S ribosomal RNA". It matches the Rfam family "Bacterial small subunit ribosomal RNA", at positions 28 to 526 of the family's 1533-position model. The record is from RNAcentral.